This 495-nucleotide ribosomal RNA is filed under the name uncultured bacterium. RNAcentral's name for it is "partial 16S ribosomal RNA". It matches the Rfam family "Bacterial small subunit ribosomal RNA", at positions 28 to 507 of the family's 1533-position model. The record is from RNAcentral.
GACGAACGCUGGCGGCGUGCCUAAUACAUGCAAGUAGAACGCUGAAGGAGGAGCUUGCUUCUCUGGAUGAGUUGCGAACGGGUGAGUAACGCGUAGGUAACCUGCCUGGUAGCGGGGGAUAACUAUUGGAAACGAUAGCUAAUACCGCAUAAUAGUAGAUGUCGCAUGACAUUUGCUUAAAAGGUGCAAUUGCAUCACUACCAGAUGGACCUGCGUUGUAUUAGCUAGUUGGUGAGGUAACGGCUCACCAAGGCAACGAUACAUAGCCGACCUGAGAGGGGGAUCGGCCACACUGGGACUGGGACACGGCCCAGACUCCUACGGGAGGCAGCAGGAGGGAAUCUUCGGCAAUGGACGGAAGUCUGACCGAGCAACGCCGCGGGAGUGAAGAAGGGUUUCGGAUCGUAAAGCUCUGUUGUAAGAGAAGAACGAGUGUGAGAGUGGAAAGUUCACGCUGUGACGGUAUCUUACCAGAAAGGGACGGCUAACUACGUG